Molecule: ribosomal RNA, 450 nt
Filed under: uncultured bacterium
Lineage: Bacteria
Description: bacterial SSU rRNA
Rfam family: Bacterial small subunit ribosomal RNA
Source: RNAcentral
UGGGGAAUCUUGCGCAAUGCGCGAAAGCGUGACGCAGCAACGCCGCGUGGGGGAAGAAUGCCUUCGGGUUGUAAACCCCUUUCAGGAGGGACGAAGGUUCACCCGGUGAAUAGCCGGGAGGACUGACGGUACCUCCAGAAGAAGCUCCGGCUAACUACGUGCCAGCAGCCGCGGUAAUACGUAGGGGGCAAGCGUUGUCCGGAAUCAUUGGGCGUAAAGCGCGCGUAGGCGGCCCGAUAAGUCUGCUGUGAAAGUCCAGGGCUCAACCCUGGAAUGCCGGUGGAUACUGUCGGGCUAGAGUUCGGAAGAGGCAAGUGGAAUUCCUGGUGUAGCGGUGGAAUGCGCAGAUAUCAGGAGGAACACCUAUAGCGAAGGCAGCUUGCUGGGACGACACUGACGCUAAGGCGCGAAAGCGUGGGGAGCGAACAGGAUUAGAUACCCCCGUAGUCC